UACGUAGGGUGCAAGCGUUGUCCGGAAUUAUUGGGCGUAAAGAGCUCGUAGGCGGUUUGUCGCGUCGGGAGUGAAAACACUGGGCUUAACUCAGUGCUUGCUUCCGAUACGGGCAGACUAGAGGUAUUCAGGGGAGAACGGAAUUCCUGGUGUAGCGGUGAAAUGCGCAGAUAUCAGGAGGAACACCGGUGGCGAAGGCGGUUCUCUGGGAAUGUCCUGACGCUGAGGAGCGAAAGUGUGGGGAGCGAACAGG
This 253-nucleotide ribosomal RNA is filed under the name uncultured bacterium. RNAcentral's name for it is "partial 16S ribosomal RNA". It matches the Rfam family "Bacterial small subunit ribosomal RNA", at positions 524 to 776 of the family's 1533-position model. The record is from RNAcentral.